RNAcentral lists this ribosomal RNA (496 nucleotides) under uncultured bacterium. RNAcentral's name for it is "partial 16S ribosomal RNA". It matches the Rfam family "Bacterial small subunit ribosomal RNA", at positions 28 to 507 of the family's 1533-position model. The record is from RNAcentral.
GAUGAACGCUGGCGGCGUGCCUAAUACAUGCAAGUCGAGCGAACGGACGAGAAGCUUGCUUCUCUGAUGUUAGCGGCGGACGGGUGAGUAACACGUGGAUACCUACCUAUAAGACUGGGAUAACUUCGGGAAACCGUAGCUAAUACCGGAUAAUAUUUUGAACCGCAUGGUUCAAAAGUGAAAGACGGUCUUGCUGUCACUUAUAGAUGGAUCCGCGCUGCAUUAGCUAGUUGGUAAGGUAACGGCUUACCAAGGCAACGAUGCAUAGCCGACCUGAGAGGGUGAUCGGCCACACUGGAACUGAGACACGGUCCAGACUCCUACGGGAGGCAGCAGUAGGGAAUCUUCCGCAAUGGGCGAAAGCCUGACGGAGCAACGCCGCGUGAGUGAUGAAGGUCUUCGGAUCGUAAAACUCUGUUAUUAGGGAAGAACAUAUGUGUAAGUAACUGUGCACAUCUUGACGGUACCUAAUCAGAAAGCCACGGCUAACUACGUG